GGGGCAGUAGCUCAGUUGGGAGAGCGCAACGUUCGCAACGUUGAGGUCGUCGGUUCGAUCCCGAUCUGCUCCA
RNAcentral lists this transfer RNA (73 nucleotides) under Candidatus Zixiibacteriota bacterium. RNAcentral's name for it is "candidate division Zixibacteria bacterium tRNA-Ala". It matches the Rfam family "tRNA". Rfam says of the family: Transfer RNA (tRNA) molecules are approximately 80 nucleotides in length. Their secondary structure includes four short double-helical elements and three loops (D, anti-codon, and T loops). The record is from RNAcentral. Lineage: Bacteria; Pseudomonadati; Candidatus Zixiibacteriota. RNAcentral also lists the same sequence under 1 other name.